CCUACGGGAUGCAGCAGUGGGGAAUAUUGCACAAUGGGCGCAAGCCUGAUGCAGCCAUGCCGCGUGUAUGAAGAAGGCCUUCGGGUUGUAAAGUACUUUCAGCGGGGAGGAAGGGAGUAAAGUUAAUACCUUUGCUCAUUGACGUUACCCGCAGAAGAAGCACCGGCUAACUCCGUGCCAGCAGCCGCGGUAAUACGGAGGGUGCAAGCGUUAAUCGGAAUUACUGGGCGUAAAGCGCACGCAGGCGGUUUGUUAAGUCAGAUGUGAAAGCCCGGGGCUUAACCUCGGAAUUGCAUUUGAAACUGGCAAGCUUGAGUCUCGUAGAGGGGGGUAGAAUUCCAGGUGUAGCGGUGAAAUGCGUAGAGAUCUGGAGGAAUACCGGUGGCGAAGGCGGCCCCCUGGACGAAGACUGACGCUCAGGUGCGAAAGCGUGGGGAGCAAACAGGAUUAGAUACCCGUGUAGUC
RNAcentral lists this ribosomal RNA (465 nucleotides) under uncultured bacterium. RNAcentral's name for it is "bacterial SSU rRNA". It matches the Rfam family "Bacterial small subunit ribosomal RNA", at positions 338 to 795 of the family's 1533-position model. The record is from RNAcentral.